RNAcentral lists this ribosomal RNA (500 nucleotides) under uncultured bacterium. Its description in RNAcentral is "partial 16S ribosomal RNA". It matches the Rfam family "Bacterial small subunit ribosomal RNA", at positions 30 to 523 of the family's 1533-position model. The record is from RNAcentral.
AUUGAACGCUGGCGGAAUGCUUUACACAUGCAAGUCGAACGGCAGCACGGACUUCGGUCAGGUGGCGAGUGGCGAACGGGUGAGUAAUACAUCGGAACGUGCCCAGUCGUGGGGGAUAACGUAGCGAAAGCUACGCUAAUACCGCAUACGAUCUAAGGAUGAAAGCGGGGGAUCGCAAGACCUCGCGCGAUUGGAGCGGCCGAUGGCAGAUUAGGUAGUUGGUAGGGUAAAGGCCUACCAAGCCGACGAUCUGUAGCUGGUCUGAGAGGAUGGUCAGCCACACUGGGACUGAGACACGGCCCAGACUCCUACGGGAGGCAGCAGUGGGGAAUUUUGGACAAUGGGCGCAAGCCUGAUCCAGCCAUUCCGCGUGCAGGAUGAAGGCCUUCGGGUUGUAAACUGCUUUUGUACAGAACGAAAAGGCUCUGGUUAAUACCCGGGGCUCAUGACGGUACUGUAAGAAUAAGCACCGGCUAACUACGUGCCAGCCGCCGCCGUAA